UACGUAGGGGGCAAGCGUUGUCCGGAAUCAUUGGGCGUAAAGCGCGUGUAGGCGGCCAGAUAAGUCCGCUGUGAAAUCUCGAGGCUCAACUUCGAGCUGUCGGUGGAAACUGUCUGGCUAGAGUCCGGAAGAGGAGAAUGGAAUUCUUGGUGUAGCGGUGAAAUGCGCAGAUAUCAGGAAGAACCCCCGUGGCGAAGGCGGUUCUCUGGGACGGUACUGACGCUGAGACGCGAAAGCGUGGGGAGCGAACAGG
RNAcentral lists this ribosomal RNA (253 nucleotides) under uncultured bacterium. RNAcentral's name for it is "partial 16S ribosomal RNA". It matches the Rfam family "Bacterial small subunit ribosomal RNA", at positions 524 to 776 of the family's 1533-position model. The record is from RNAcentral.